UAAUCCAUCCCACCUCACAGGUGUGCCAUAUCAAGAUGCUGAUUAGACACCAUGAUUAGUGCACAGGUGUGCCUUAGACUGCCCACAAUAAAAGGCCACUCUGAAAGGUGCAGCUUUGUUUUAUGGGGGGGUCCCCACUCCUCUUCAAAAGCUGUGUGAAGUUGCUGGAUAUUGGUGGUAACUGGUACACUCUGUCGUAUACGCCGAUCCAGAGCAUCCCAAACAUGCUCAAUGGGUGACAUGUCCGGUGAGACAGAUUUGUGAACAAUAUUUGAGAGAACUGGUGAUAUUGUGUAUGUGGAAAAAGUUUUAGAUCUUUGAGUUCAUCUCAUAAAAAAUGGGAGCAAAAAAAAGUGUUGCGUUUAUAUUUUUGUUGAGUGGAAGUAGGCAAGUUUAACAGACUUUUGUAGCUACUCCUUGUCUUAGUUUGAGGCUAGCAGCUUGAGGCUACAUAUGCUUCUGUUAGCAUAACACUCCAGAAAUCAUUGAACAGUUGGAAGUAAAUUUGUAGAUUUUUACAAGGAAGAAGGGGAGGACGGGAAUGAAAGUUCAUGGAGUAAAAAGAAAACAGCCGCGUGUCUAUCCGUGUAAUUUGAUUCAUUUUUUGAAGUAUCGAGUCAGAGAAGUUUAAUGGAAUCUGCUAAAUUAGAGAAACUUUUUUAUGCUCACUUGAGGCGGUUUUCAAAGAGUUGAUACACCUCAAGGGAGAUGGAAACACUUAAAAAACAUUCUGGUGUAGAAAACAUUUCACUGAUUUAACACAGUACAUUGUGCAACAUGGCCGGCCAGCUGACAGCAAAGAAUGAACACAGCUGUCCCAAUUGAAAUCAAUCCCCAAUGACUUCUCUUCAUGCUUCUCCUGUGGAUGAACAAACCCUUGGUUCUUCUUCUAGGUUUUUGUUUGUUUGUUUUUUAUAGAGGUUUGCAAACAACUGGUUUCGUUUCAGACUUCUUCUCAAAAGUUUGUUUCAAACUCAAUUAUAUAGAAACGCCACUAAUGUCUGUGGUUUUGCUGUCCAAAUUUUGAUCUGAAUGCAGUGCUAUAUUGGUGGAGUCCUCCUUUUCACAAUUCACAACCACGAGCAAGAUCCAAAUAUUUGCUCAGAAACGGCAAUAAUCUGUUUACAUUCCAAAAAAUGACAAUCAGACACACACCUGUAUGGCUAAAGAGGAAGGGUUGAAACUUACCAGGAGAAAUGAUUGUGCUGAGUGACCUUCUGUCAUCGUAGUAGACUUUCAGGGUGGUUGCGUGUGAUGUUAACAGCUCUGUUUGUAGUUAUCACAGCAUCUCCUCGUCCCUCCUGCCUCCUUACCCUGAGCUAGAUCAGCCUUUAUAACCACCAGUCAAAUGUGCAUGAAGUCUCUUAAAAAUGUAUUUGUGAAUGUUUUACUGUUUUCUCUGUUUAUUUAAAGAUAUAUUUGUGCUGUGGUUGCUUAUGAAGUCUCUGCCUAUCAGCUGCAACAGUAUCUGUGGCACGUGGUAAAUGCUAGUCGACAGUCUCAACUGGAAGUGCAGAAAAAUCUCAAUUUGCUCUCAUGUAAAAUAUUUUUGCUUUCAUUGAAAUAGUUUUUUUUUUUUUUGAGUGUUUGUGUGCUAUUUUUAAUGCAGCUUUGUUUUCUUAGUUUUCAUACAUGUUUGUGAAGUUGAGUCCGUUUUCUAAAUACAGUAUAAUCCAAACCUUCUGUACUGUGUUCGUAUACCAUGAAUUAAACUGCAGGCAGGUCUGACAGAG
Acanthochromis polyacanthus (spiny chromis) is the source of this 1733-nucleotide long non-coding RNA. RefSeq lists it as uncharacterized. NCBI's taxonomy places the organism in Eukaryota, Metazoa, Chordata, Actinopteri, Pomacentridae. The transcript has 2 exons. The record is from RefSeq and is a predicted model, not a curated record.